CACGUAGGGGGCAAGCGUUGUCCGGAUUUAUUGGGCGUAAAGAGCUCGUAGGUGGCUCGGCAAGUCGGGUGUUAAACCCCCAGGCUCAACCUGGGGACGCCACUCGAUACUGCUGUGGCUAGAGUCCGGUAGGGGAGCGUGGAAUUCCUGGUGUAGCGGUGAAAUGCGCAGAUAUCAGGAAGAACACCCGUGGCUAAGGCGGCUCUCUAGUACGGUACUGACGCUGAGACGCGAAAGCGUGGGGAGCGAACAGG
Molecule: ribosomal RNA, 254 nt
Filed under: uncultured bacterium
Lineage: Bacteria
Description: partial 16S ribosomal RNA
Rfam family: Bacterial small subunit ribosomal RNA
Source: RNAcentral